Chelonoidis abingdonii (Abingdon island giant tortoise) is the source of this 2616-nucleotide long non-coding RNA. RefSeq lists it as uncharacterized. The record is from RefSeq and is a predicted model, not a curated record. NCBI's taxonomy places the organism in Eukaryota, Metazoa, Chordata, Testudines, Testudinidae.
UGACGCCUGAUGGGUGGGGUUGGCAGUACUGGAAUGUGGUGCUGAGAAGAAUAGCGGCAAGUGGGAGAUGGCAGACUUCACACCUACAGGAUUCAAAAAGGUAUAGCAUUGGAAAACAGGAUCUGGUUCAAGAGGAAUGAUGUGGCAUCAGCAGCCCAUGGAGGGGAGAUUUUUCUUAGGAGGCUGUCUUUAAUUAGCAAAACAGAUUAGUGCUUCAGCGACUUUCACUGGGGACAAACGGAAUUCUCUCUAGAUGUGGGACGCUCCCUUUGCAGCAAUCUGAACUCAAAAGCUGCUACUUGUAUAUUUUGGAAGCAGGAAAACAGAAGACUGGUGACUGCUAUAGUUAUGUUUAGCAAAAGUUAUUGACAGGCGCAAGAUUCAGAUACGAAAUUUGAAUGCCCUGGCCUAAGCUUUUGGAUCUGAGAGGUGCCAGCAGUGGGUAUGGAUUCUGAACCCACCUAAAUUUGGGAGAAUAUUUGGGUCUAAGUUUUGAUUUAAGCACAUCCAUAGCUGCUGCAGUAUUGUAUUGCUACCAGCAUCCAUCCCCCUUCUCUGUGACACUAGCCCUGAACUGUUUGCUUGGGUGACUCGUAUAAAUCUACAUUUUAACUGGGAAGCGAAUGACACUGAGGGGGAAGAGUGCAUGCGUGUGUAAAGUUCAGCUCUGUGGAUUAAUCUGCUAGGGAGCUGAUGCACUAACAGCGUGAAAUUUACCAGGCUAAUAAUAUAACUUUUAAGGUGUUCUGGCAAGCCUAGAAAAUAGUCACCCUGUUGAACUGAUGCCACCUGGUGGAGACAACUGGAGAUUAAGAUUUAUAGCAGCUUUUAAACCAGUGUUUCUCAAACUUCCUUAACCCAAGCUCCUCUUCUAGGUAUGAAAACAUCAUGUAGUUGUGUGCCAUUGCCUAGUUCUGUGCUGUGGAGAGGUUGAAUUUUCCUCCUGACCCUCAGAUGGUUAUUCACUUGUGCUGUGGAUGGUUGCUUCUAGUCCAAGCUGUUUUGUCUUAGCUACGAGUUCACAGCCAUUGUGGAUGCUGCUGCUUAAGGAAGUACCGAUCCUGAGCGUAUUUCUUCAAGGAAAGCUGUUGCUAACCCAGACUGGCUAACACUGGGAUGUCCAUCUCAAAAGGAGGUAGAAUUCAGAAGCACUGAUUCCAAGCAUGAAAUUAAAAUAGAGCCAUUCUCCAGUAUCCCUCUUCACCAGCUGCCAGCCAGAAAUUUGGAAUAUCACAGCCUCAGGCAGCCAGGGGAGGCCACAAAUAGUAUAGGUCUCAGGGUCCUGUCGUUAUCCAGGUUUGAUAGAGAUAGGUUAUAGACAUAUUUAGUUUAUUUAUAUCUAUAUGAUGAGAAAUGUUUUGCAUUUUGUCUAGAGUAACCUCGGCUCGGGAAGGCAAGUCCAGUGAGAGAAAUCUCAAACUUUUUAUUUCCCAAAUAUAGGUAGAUCUGUCCCGUCAGUGCCUGUAUGCUCUUGAAAAAUUACCUUUCAGUUUCUUUUAUCAUCCUUUGUGUACAGCAUGCCGGCUCUGCUUAACAUGUGAGCAAAGAAAGAGCUAUCUUGUGUGCUUCAGACAGUUCAUAGCUGGGGUGAAAGUGGGAACUCAACCCAAAACCUCUUGAGAGGAAGAGGAGUUUUUCCUUCGGUAUUGUACAAUGUGAGCAUGAUCCUGUUGUUCAGAUUUUCUUUUCUUUUCCUUUUAGAGGGAAGGGUGGGUAUCCUACGGGGGAGGAGGCCCUCCUCAGUUCUAGGGAUGGUUAUUACUUUUUAUAUGGUAGCACCUAGAAGCCCUCCCCCAGAAUCAGGUCCCCAUAGUGCUAGGCACACUAAAAACACACUGGAGAAGGACCCUGCUUCAAAGAGCUCUGUGGAACAAUGUGCAAGGAUCUCUUGGCGCCGAUGGACCAUCAUGAGCAAAGUCCAUGCUUGAUCUUAAUUAUUGUUCUCAUCACCUACUGGUGAAAAUGUUAAUAAAGAAUGUUAGUUGAUUGUAGAAGCUGUGACAGCCAAGCCCUCUAGCAGGGUAGGUUCUCUGAGCGCAGAACAGGUUUCAGUUACAAGCUGAGCAAACAGCUGCAUGGGAGAGAGCAUGACCUCAAAGUGCUGCAGGCAGAGCCCCUUCUAGCAUUGCAAGGAGGGAGUUGAUUCACAAUUUCCUUUCCUGUGUUUGCUUUAUUUGACAGACAAUUAUCAUUCCAGAGGUAAUUGCUGGAAGAGCCCUAUGGGACUCAUAAAUCUCUAAUGCUGAAGGUUUUUCAAGUGAAUAAAAAAGACACAGCGAAGUUUUAUUUAUUUUACUUUAUUUUGCCGUAGUGCCCAGGAUCUCCAGAUCUAGAUCAGGGUCCUGUUAUGCUUGGUGCUGCAUGAACACAAAGACAAGGUACUUGCCCUAAAGAACUUGCAAUCUAAGAGGUUCUGAACUGGUAAAAAAAUAAGUUAUCACAGCAAUUCUCAACCAGGGAUCCAGGGAAGGGCGGGGCUGCGAGCACAUUUCAGGGGGUCCACCAAGCAGGGCUGGCAUAGACUUACUGAGGCCCAGGGAAGAAAGCUGAAGCCCGGGGCCCUGAGCCCUGAGAUCUGAGGCUGAAGCUGAAGCCUGAGCAACUGACUUUUGUGGA